Pelobates cultripes (western spadefoot toad) is the source of this 570-nucleotide non-coding RNA. The record is from the annotation of a GenBank genome assembly. Lineage: Eukaryota; Metazoa; Chordata; Amphibia; Anura; Pelobatidae.
GUCUCACUUAUCCAGAUAAAUAAAAUUGAAGAUACUUGGUCACGCCAUGGGCACAUAAUUCAUUGUUGCACAAUAGAAUAUGGCCAUUUAAUGUAAUUUGUGUAGUGUGUAUAUGAAUUGGCCACCUGGUAGAGAUCAGAUGAUAGAAGGGAUCAUGUAAAUGGUAAAGGAAUGUGAAGAUCCUUUGAUUAGUCAAAGGCUCUGCAGGGUGUGAGAUUCUACACUUGAGAUGCCUGGAUCUCUGAUUCCAAAGUAAACUAGCUGACUUCAGCCAUAUGGCCGGUACCUUUUAAUUGAUUUAUUUGAUAUGUUAAUGAUCAUUCGCUUUCAAGAGAAAAACAAGCCUUGUGUUACAGUAUCAUAUCCAAAAGAAACAUUAAUAUGGAAUGAUAAUUGAGCCUCCUUUUUGUUAUAUUUGGAAUGGGACGGGCACAAUCGUCUACUCAAGCUUAAACAUGAUUUGCAUAACUUAACCAUAGGGGAAGGGAUUGUGAUGUCUGCUAUAUUGGGUCACAAGUAAGGAGUGUGACCUAUCUACGGAGUGGAAAAAUGGUAACACAUUCAUAGGUG